This is a non-coding RNA of Electrophorus electricus (electric eel), 331 nucleotides long. The record is from RefSeq and is a predicted model, not a curated record. Lineage: Eukaryota; Metazoa; Chordata; Actinopteri; Gymnotiformes; Gymnotidae.
AAGUGUUUACAAAUGUGUGGCAGCAGAGACGAAGCUGUUUCUAAACGUUGGCAUAAUUCUAAAUCAAACAGGAGACAGUCAAAAAGUAGAGUGAGAAAGAAAAAACGUAGUUUGUUCAAUCUCCAGGUACCUCUGAUACUGCACUGCUAAAACUCGAACUUGAUACGGCCUACAAGAGAAAAUGCCUUCUGAAAAUCAUCAGGGCAAAUUCUCCUUUUUUGUGGAGGUACACAAGGACAGCACUGCACAUUAGCGGACGAUCCCUCAGCAUUGCUGUUGAACGUCGCUACGCUGCCUACGAACCAAAGAUUACCUUUUGUGUUUUGCUUAG